GACGAACGCUGGCGGCGUGCUUAACACAUGCAAGUCGAACGAGAAGAGAUGAGAAGCUUGCUUCUUAUCAAUUCGAGUGGCAAACGGGUGAGUAACGCGUAAGCAACCUGCCCUUCAGAUGGGGACAACAGCUGGAAACGGCUGCUAAUACCGAAUACGUUCUUUUGUCGCAUGGCAGAGGGAAGAAAGGGAGGCUCUUCGGAGCUUUCGCUGAAGGAGGGGCUUGCGUCUGAUUAGCUAGUUGGAGGGGUAACGGCCCACCAAGGCGACGAUCAGUAGCCGGACUGAGAGGUUGAUCGGCCACAUUGGGACUGAGACACGGCCCAG
Molecule: ribosomal RNA, 327 nt
Filed under: uncultured bacterium
Lineage: Bacteria
Description: bacterial SSU rRNA
Rfam family: Bacterial small subunit ribosomal RNA
Source: RNAcentral